AGUCUUGUUGCUCACACAAAGCCUGUUGGUGGACUCUCUUCAUAUGGACUCAUGUGACAUUUGGUGCCGAAGACCUGAGACAGGAGGACUCCUUUGGGAGACCGGUCCCCUGUCCUCGCCCUCUCUCCAUGAGAUCCACCCAUGACCUCGGGUCCUCAGCCCAGCCGAAGGAACUUCUCACCAAUUUUAAAUCGGGGACGCAAAGCCAACAAGAAUGAAGAAGUGGCCAGCUGCCAAACAGGGAAGGGCCGCCUGUCCAGUGGAUACAUGACCCACAUGACCUUACCUAUCAUU
This 294-nucleotide long non-coding RNA is filed under the name Homo sapiens (human). Its description in RNAcentral is "non-protein coding IGFL2-AS1:14". The record is from RNAcentral. Lineage: Eukaryota; Metazoa; Chordata; Mammalia; Primates; Hominidae.